This 253-nucleotide ribosomal RNA is filed under the name uncultured bacterium. Its description in RNAcentral is "partial 16S ribosomal RNA". It matches the Rfam family "Bacterial small subunit ribosomal RNA", at positions 524 to 776 of the family's 1533-position model. The record is from RNAcentral.
UACGUAGGAUCCAAGCGUUGUCCGGAUUUACUGGGUGUAAAGGGUGCGCAGGCGGACUUGUUAGUCAGAGGUGAAAUCUCACGGCUCAACCGUGAAACUGCCUUUGAUACUGCAGGUCUUGAAUUGGGGAGAGAGUUGUGGAAUUCCGAGUGUAGCAGUGAAAUGCGUAGAUAUCAAGUGGAACACCAGUGGCGAAGGCGAGUCCCUGGACAACUCCUGACACUGAGGCACGAAAGCUAGGGGAGCAAACAGG